This 482-nucleotide ribosomal RNA is filed under the name uncultured bacterium. Its description in RNAcentral is "partial 16S ribosomal RNA". It matches the Rfam family "Bacterial small subunit ribosomal RNA", at positions 30 to 507 of the family's 1533-position model. The record is from RNAcentral.
AUUGAACGCUGGCGGCAUGCCUUACACAUGCAAGUCGAACGGUAACAGGUCUUCGGAUGCUGACGAGCGGCGAACGGGUGAGUAAUACAUCGGAACGUGCCCGAUCGUGGGGAAUAACGAGGCGAAAGCUUUGCUAAUACCGCAUACGAUCUACGGAUGAAAGCGGGGGAUCUUCGGACCUCGCGCGGACGGAGCGGCCGAUGGCAGAUUAGGUAGUUGGUGGGAUAAAAGCUUACCAAGCCGACGAUCUGUAGCUGGUCUGAGAGGAUGAUCAGCCACACUGGGACUGAGACACGGCCCAGACUCCUACGGGAGGCAGCAGUGGGGAAUUUUGGACAAUGGGCGAAAGCCUGAUCCAGCCAUGCCGCGUGCAGGAUGAAGGCCUUUGGGUUGUAAACUGCUUUUGUACGGAACGAAAAGCCUCUUUCUAAUAAAGAGGGGUCAUGACGGUACCGUAAGAAUAAGCACCGGCUAACUACGUG